UCAGACCUCCCAAAACUGCCCUUUUUGAUCAGCGCAUCAGCUCUGCUGCCUCGAAGGUUGAAGUCAUCACAUCUUAUCAGCGUUCACUGAAUGCACAGCCAACCACCCGUGUAUCUCAGUGUAUACCAUCUAUACCAACACCAAGUUAAUGAAACUGAUGUUGCCUGACCACAAAGUCAAUUCAGCAUGUACCCUUGGGAUCCACAAAAGGCCGGAAAGGCAAAUGAGAAAGAUGAGAAAGCUGGCACGUUACAGCUGCGAGGCUAUUCGCACCAAAGUGAAGAGAUCUGCACCCUGGCACCAGAAAAUAGAAGAUAAGUUCAAAUUCAGUUUCAAAUACAAGUUAUAUAAAUUAAAAAAAUCAACCCAAAUCAGCACCUUUACUAGCAAAAAAGCACAACAAUUAUAUUUUGGAAAUCUUUUACAAAAAUCUUUUGCAAAUGGCAAAAAGUUUGAAUUCAAAAUUAAAGAAGCUGAAAACUCUACCCAUAAAAAUGGCCAUAAUAAUCUUCUUGUAUCCAAAAUCAAAAACAGUCACUUCCUCAAAAGAAAGUGGUUGUUUCCAGAUGAUCUUGCUGUUAUUAAGAAACCAAAAAGAAAUCCUGCCUAUCCAAACUCUAUCAUUCCUUUCCAUUCAAAGAUUCUCAACAUAUCCGGUAAUCAAAUUAUUUUUUUCUCUGAAGUUCAAAUUUUCAGUACACACAUUUUUUCCGAGAUGUUGACAGCAGCCGAAGCAAAGCAUCGAAAUAAAAUUUUACCAAAUUUACACCACAACAAACGUAAUAGUUGUAGUACAGAAAAGCAGCAAAAAAUGAAGCUGUUUAAGGAUAAAAGUGAAUCGAUAUCUCAACAGAAUAAAAAUGAAGAGAAAUUUUAUCAUUCAAUCAAAGAAAUGCAGAAAACAAUUCCAAGUGUUGAUGCAAACAGAUUUUUUCCAUUCCUCAAAGAGUACCUUCAGAUUCAUGAACAUAAGCAGUAUGCAUUUGCUAUUGCUGUCAUGAAACAUAGUAAAAAUAUCAUUGUUUCUCCAGCAUUUGAGCCAGAUUAUGAAAAAAAGGGAAAUCCUGGAAAAAUAAAGCACAGCGAGCCUCGUUUAUGUGAAGCUUUUGAACCUUUUUUGCAACGGAAUGGAAAUUUAGUGGAGACUAUUCUGAUUUACACAUUCAAUAGUCCAUGUUUAGGUUGUACUUCUCUACUUCUUGAAAAAGCUUAUCUCUGGCGCUGUAAAUAUGGAUUUUUCACGACUGUAGCAUUCACACAAUUUUACGGAUUGAGUGGACAAAAUUGUUUCCAAACUCUCACCUACUCAUCUACCAACAUGUUAGGUCCAUGCGGUGUGUUUUAUGAAGACAGUCAAAGAUGUAAGCGUGAUCACUUCAAACUGAAGUCUUUCACAGUCAACAGUAAAAUCUUCCAAAAUAUCAGAAAACUUAGUGAAAAAGAAGAAAAAGAGAGCUGCCGUAAGAAAAUUGAAUCUUAUGUGUCUGUGUUGAAAACACUGGCAAAAAAUUCAGUUUGUUCACGUGAAACACAUUUACAACGUGGUGAAAACACAAUUUAUUCUUUCGUAUUUCCCCCAAUGAUCCAAGAUGCAUGUAGAGACAGUCUUUUAAGGGACUGGUUAGUACUAGUGAACAACAGUGCCAUGUCAAACAUGAGAGAAAAAAUAACCCUGAAUUUUAAUGUUGCAGUAGUUGAAGUUAUUAACCAAAAUCUUAAGUCCUCUUGUGGGAACAACAGCCCUCUAAAGCUUUGCCACAUCCCUCUGAAUCUGUAAUGAUUGAGUCCACUCUAAAUAAAUAAUAAAUAAAAUAAUUUUAUGUCUCUGAGUUGAAAACACUGUACAAACACUGAACACAUGAAUUUCAAUUUCAUAGCAGUUGUGGGAACAAUAGUCCCUCUAAUUUAUAAAAUUAUAUAUCUAUAAAUCUAGAAUUGGAUGUAUAAUAAAUAAUGUAUAUUCAUUUAUUAAAAAUAAAUGAAAAAAUUAAAAACUUUUUUUUUUAAAAUAAAUAUUAAAUUAUAUAUCAUAAGAUAUAUGAUUUAAGACAUAUUUAUAUACAUCCAGAGUAACAGCCGUGAGGCUGCAGUUUGCCGCCUGUCAGGUAGUCAGUAAUCCAGGGGAGCUGAACUCUGAGAGCAAACAGCCUGGUGACUGUAGCGUGCCAAGUGGCUCACGUGGAUCUGUGGCUGAAUCUGGAGCUGAGACUGCAGGUGUUCAACGAUGACUCCUACGAGGCAGCAGAGCUGAUGCGCUGAUCAUUAAUGGCCGAGGCUGCUCACACCAAAGUGAGUGGCAGGAUUCUCCAGUCCAGUGAGCACAGCUCCAUCAGCUGGUGGAGUUCAGUCAACACACUUGUUCUCACCAACCAGCAGUGUGCUCAAACAUCGGUUUCUCCUCCAUCCUACACGAUGUUUUACAGUCAAGAAGCAGUAAAUCAGGAUUACAUCACCUCUCUGUAGAAGGAAACUUUCCUAGUGUCCUUAUUUUGGAUUCUUGUCUCCUUCUCAGUUCCUUCCUGAUGUGUGUGCUGGACUGGAUCCUCUGGCUCUGUGCCAUCCUUUACUUAUAAUAAAAAUCAUUGAAAUUUG
Long non-coding RNA from Pelmatolapia mariae (spotted tilapia), 2592 nucleotides. RefSeq lists it as uncharacterized. The record is from RefSeq and is a predicted model, not a curated record. NCBI's taxonomy places the organism in Eukaryota, Metazoa, Chordata, Actinopteri, Cichliformes, Cichlidae. The transcript is spliced from 5 exons.